RNAcentral lists this ribosomal RNA (500 nucleotides) under uncultured bacterium. RNAcentral describes it as "partial 16S ribosomal RNA". It matches the Rfam family "Bacterial small subunit ribosomal RNA", at positions 28 to 507 of the family's 1533-position model. The record is from RNAcentral.
GACGAACGCUGGCGGCGUGCUUAACACAUGCAAGUCGAACGGGUCUGCCCUGUUUUUUGCGGGGUGGGUCAGUGGCGAACGGGUGAGUAACACGUGAGUAACCUGCCCCUCACUUCUGGAUAACCGCUUGAAAGGGUGGCUAAUACGGGGUGUUCUGGCUGUGCCGCAUGGUGUGGCUGGGAAAGAUUCACUUUUGUGGUGUUUUGGUGGGGGAUGGGCUCGCGGCCUAUCAGCUUGUUGGUGGGGUGAUGGCCUGCCAAGGCUUUGACGGGUAGCCGGCCUGAGAGGGUGGGCGGUCACACUGGGACUGAGAUACGGCCCAGACUCCUGCGGGAGGCAGCAGUGGGGGGUAGUGCACAAUGGGCGGAAGCCUGAUGCAGCGACGUCGCGUGAGGGAUGGAGGCCUUCGGGUUGUGAACCUCUUUCGCCGGUGAAGAAGGUCCUGCUCUUUGUGGUGGGGUUGACGGUAGCCGGGUUAUGAAGCGCCGGCUAACUACGUG